CGCACAUUGCACCUCUUGGUAUUCCUUGAGGUAUACUUGUUCGAGCGCCGUUUUACUAUUAAGGUUUUCGCCUUGUGUUGACGGUAUUCAUUUCAGAGUCUGUCUAAAACUAUUUGGCGUCUGUUUUUAUAACCUUAAGUCAGAGUGAAAAUCUGCUAUUUGGAAAUAAAAUUAGAUGGCCUUGUUUCUGAAUUUCAUGGCCUCGGAUCAAGUAAGGUUACCCGCUGAACUUAA
Molecule: unclassified non-coding RNA, 234 nt
Filed under: Monodictys bicolorata
Lineage: Eukaryota; Fungi; Ascomycota; Dothideomycetes; Pleosporales
Description: partial contains 5.8S ribosomal RNA, internal transcribed spacer 2, and large subunit ribosomal RNA
Source: RNAcentral